GAUGAACGCUGGCGGCGUGCCUAAUACAUGCAAGUCGAGCGAACAGACGAGGAGCUUGCUCCUCUGACGUUAGCGGCGGACGGGUGAGUAACACGUGGAUAACCUACCUAUAAGACUGGGAUAACUUCGGGAAACCGGAGCUAAUACCGGAUAAUAUAUUGAACCGCAUGGUUCAAUAGUUAAAGACGGUUUUGCUGUCACUUAUAGAUUGAUCCGCGCCGCAUUAGCUAGUUGGUAAGGUAACGGCUUACCAAGGCAACGAUGCGUAGCCGACCUGAGAGGGUGAUCGGCCACACUGGAACUGAGACACGGUCCAGACUCCUACGGGAGGCGGCAGUAGGGAAUCUUCCGCAAAGGGCGAAAGCCUGACGGAGCAAAGCCGCGUGAGUGAUGAAGGUCUUCGGAUCGUAAAACUCUGUUAUUAGGGAAGAACAAAUGUGUAAGUAACUAUGCACGUCUUGACGGUACCUAAUCAGAAAGCCACGGCUAUCUACGUG
RNAcentral lists this ribosomal RNA (497 nucleotides) under uncultured bacterium. RNAcentral describes it as "partial 16S ribosomal RNA". It matches the Rfam family "Bacterial small subunit ribosomal RNA", at positions 28 to 507 of the family's 1533-position model. The record is from RNAcentral.